CUGCUUUCAUGUGAAUCAUGUAUGUACAUCUCCUUGUUCAUUUUGGAUUCUUUCUGUCAGCUCCACUCUAUCUACCACCAAAGGAAUAUUCACAGGCUGAAAGACCUGGGGUAUGGUAGGCAGGAGAAAGUUCUAGAAAGGACUCAGUACUGGAUUUUGAGGCAGGCUGUCUUCAGUGAUGACAACAAGCUUGAAUACAAGAAUCAGUGAGCCUGGAAUGCAAAAGACAAAACCCACUGAAGUCAUUGGGAACAGAGAAACAUGUAAGCAGAGAAAGCUGGUCUACAGAGAAAAAUAAUUGAGUAAAGUUGCUGUGCAAAGAGAAGAAGAUCCACAGUGCAAUAUACCCCUGUGAAUUAUGAG
This 363-nucleotide long non-coding RNA is filed under the name Equus caballus (horse). RNAcentral's name for it is "lncRNA (ENSECAG00000052025.1)". Lineage: Eukaryota; Metazoa; Chordata; Mammalia; Perissodactyla; Equidae. The record is from RNAcentral.